RNAcentral lists this transfer RNA (72 nucleotides) under Culex quinquefasciatus (southern house mosquito). It matches the Rfam family "tRNA". From Rfam's summary of the family: Transfer RNA (tRNA) molecules are approximately 80 nucleotides in length. The record is from Rfam by way of RNAcentral. Lineage: Eukaryota; Metazoa; Arthropoda; Insecta; Diptera; Culicidae.
GGGUUGGUAGUGUAGUGGUUAGCGUGAUGUCUUCUCACCUCAGUUGGCCUGGGUUCGAUCCCAGUCGACCUU